Molecule: long non-coding RNA, 163 nt
Organism: Nothoprocta perdicaria
Lineage: Eukaryota; Metazoa; Chordata; Aves; Tinamiformes; Tinamidae
Exons: 2
Source: RefSeq, a predicted model, not a curated record
AGAGCUUUGGAAGGGUCCCUCUGAAACUUAUUGGGAUUGAUUUUGCUGCUUCACUGGGUUAUUACUGACAAACUCUGGACAACUGCUCCCCAGGAACACACCCAUCCGGCAGAGUUCAAUCUUUGGAGACUUAAAGUGCUCACUCAAAUGCACGGAACAAGAG